GUGGGGAAUUUUGGACAAUGGGCGCAAGCCUGAUCCAGCAAUGCCGCGUGCAGGAAGAAGGCCUUCGGGUUGUAAACUGCUUUUGUACGGAACGAAACGGUCCGGGUUAAUACCCUGGGCUAAUGACGGUACCGUAAGAAUAAGCACCGGCUAACUACGUGCCAGCAGCCGCGGUAAUACGUAGGGUGCGAGCGUUAAUCGGAAUUACUGGGCGUAAAGCGUGCGCAGGCGGUGCUGUAAGACAGGCGUGAAAUCCCCGGGCUCAACCUGGGAAUUGCGCUUGUGACUGCAGUGCUGGAGUGCGGCAGAGGGGGAUGGAAUUCCGCGUGUAGCAGUGAAAUGCGUAGAUAUGCGGAGGAACACCGAUGGCGAAGGCAAUCCCCUGGGCCUGCACUGACGCUCAUGCACGAAAGCGUGGGGAGCAAACAGGAUUAGAUACCCCUGUAGUCC
RNAcentral lists this ribosomal RNA (450 nucleotides) under uncultured bacterium. RNAcentral's name for it is "partial 16S ribosomal RNA". It matches the Rfam family "Bacterial small subunit ribosomal RNA", at positions 354 to 796 of the family's 1533-position model. The record is from RNAcentral.